GUAUACUGGAUUUGGCCGCCCUCUGCGGAUGGAUAUCUUGCAUUUGGACAUCUCUUGAUCCGUGGAUUUCCGUAGAGUUAACUUAACAUAUGUAUUGGGUGGUCUGUUUGCUGCCCAAUUUUUUAAGUGGCUGCCUUUUAUCACUUCUGCUGAUAGUCUCCCAUUUGUGGCAUUAUAAAGCAGGCUAAUGAGAAUUUCUGGAACUGACCCGUCUUCGAGAGACUGACAUGCGGAUGUACUUUCACUACAAGACAUUUCUGACACGCUCAUUUGGGAGUCACAGACACAUUUUAUCUUGUGAAUUGUUCCUUGUACUGUAUUCUGAACCAAGAUCUGGAAGCCCUCCAACAUUUUCAAAACAGAACUGCUUAUUAAUAUAGAGAAAAAGAAGCAGCAUCAGGAUAAUAAACACCCAAACAGCUGACAAAAACCCAACUGCCUCUGGAGAUACUUUUCUAAAACAGGAAAGCUUCCUGCUGACUCAAAAGGAUUUUUCUUCUUCUGAACUCCUAUUAUGGGAAUGGAUGAAAUCACUUACAGAGCCACAGAAGGAAACAAAGCAAAGCCAGGAUCAUGAGUUGGAUUAUCUGGAGGCCUAGGCCAAUGGGGAGUUAUUGCUUGCAGUCACUGAUCAAGCAAAUAAACUUUUCCUUCUUUCUUAUGAAAUUUAUUUAAGAAGCUGAAAUUACUUAAAUGAUAAUGAGUUGUGAGAAAAGAAUUGUAGUAGAUAUUUGUUCUCUAUCCAAAUUGCACUGAGUGGGGAGGUGUACCCAUACCCCAGCUUCGAGAAUUGACUGAUAACAGUUCACACCUGCACUUCUCCAGAGAAUUGUCCUUGUCUGACCUGAGCACCUUGUUUAGUAAUGUCUGGUAGGCUAUGCUCCACCUUCCCUGGGCAGAUCCACUGGUCUAAGACAAACAACCCAACCCUCUAAUUUCUGGGAAGAAUCACCUCCGUGAUUAAUCUAAGCUCCAGAUCUCCCAGAGAAAUCAUGCUGAGGCUACAUUUGUGAAACUACAUUUUUAUCUAGCUUCUUCCUUUGCCCUUUCCUGCUGUCCUCACUUCCUUAUGAAUUUUUUUCUGAAAGAUCUUGAUUAAUAAAUUAUUUAAUCAAGAUCCCCCAGUCAUAAGUUCUGUGUUUUGGAAUAUAACCUAUACAAAAAUAAAUUAAUUGGUACUAGAUAAUGCUCCGCUAUGCAUCUAUUUCAAUGUCUAUUCUUUGGAAGUUCUGUCAUCACACAUCCCCAAGUUUUAGAUAAGGUUUUUAGCUAACAGCCAGGAAAAGAUUCAAUAAACUUAAAAGAAAAAGUGUUUUUAAAUGUAAUAUUUUUUGUCUCUAAAGAAGUUUUUGUAUUGCAAAUGUUAAUCUCUUAAAAUAGAGGGGAACGAAGAAUGAAAAAAGAAAUAUUUUUAAGAUGUCCUUUUAAAACAUAGUCCCUCAAGCUAGUUGUUGUAGUUUUAGAAUAUAAAGAGCCCAGUAAAGAUGGUUUCAGUGAGAAGCUAUUAUUAAGAAAUGAGACUAGAAAGUUUUGGAGUCAAUAUCUGUAGCCUUUUGAUACUGAAAAUUCUGCAUAGUGGAUGGGAGUCAUGAGAAUUUUCCAGUCUUUAUUUUGGAAAUCUCUUACCUAUCCAACUAUAAUAACUGUCAUGUCAUUUAUAGUAUUAUCUUUUUGGAUUGUCCUGAGCAUUCAGUUCCAAAGUGAAGUCAAUGUAUCAUAGAACAUAUGGAAAAAUUCCAGAACUCAUGUUUAUAUUUAUUUUUAUCUAAACAAACAAUUUUUUACAGCAUUGGCUUUGAGGUGUGGAAUCUUAGCAGAAGUACAUUAAUUACUGGAUGCU
Molecule: long non-coding RNA, 1840 nt
Filed under: Homo sapiens (human)
Lineage: Eukaryota; Metazoa; Chordata; Mammalia; Primates; Hominidae
Description: HSALNT0320052
Source: RNAcentral